Long non-coding RNA from Perca fluviatilis (European perch), 451 nucleotides. RefSeq lists it as uncharacterized. The transcript is spliced from 2 exons. The record is from RefSeq and is a predicted model, not a curated record. Lineage: Eukaryota; Metazoa; Chordata; Actinopteri; Perciformes; Percidae.
UUUGAGACAUUCAUUUUGUUUUCCAAGUUAUUAAAAUAUGGUCAAAAGUAGUUGUAAGAGAUAUGGGAGAAAAUAGUGGAAAACGAUUUAACUUUCACUUAGCUUUGAUGGGCUUGUAAAUAAGCCAAUGGGUGAACUCGGGUCUGUGAGCUGACCAAUCAGCUAUCAACUAGGCUACGUCAGAUCUCUAGAUUUACGUCUCCUCACGUCCCUUUUGGCGCUACAUCGGAACCCGGAACGUAGGCAGCCGUUAUUCACUCGGUAAGAGAAAAAGAACGACAUUUAGUGAAUUAAAUCCUAGCUAAUACUGGCUAUGCUUUGUUGUGAAUAGAACGAAAGAGAUCUGUGUCUGAAUCCACUGUCGUCACGGAGUUAAAGGCAGUGAAUUCCAUUAAAAUGAUGGAGGAGGUGGAGAUUUGAGAAGCGCUACGCACGGGAGGUCCGGUCCAGA